GACGAACGCUGGCGGCGUGCCUAAUACAUGCAAGUAGGACGCAGUUGCGAACGGGUGAGUAACGCGUAGGUAACUACCUAUUAGAGGGGGAUAAAUAUUGGAAACGAUAGCUAAUACCGCAUACUAGUAGAUGGACCUGCGUGGUAUUAGCUAGUAGGGAGGGUAAAGGCCUACCUAGGCAACGAGACAUAGCCGACCUGCGAGGGUGAGCGGCCACACUGGGACUGAGACACGGCCCAGACUUCGACGGGAUGCAGCAGUAGGGAAUCUGCGGCAAUGGGGGGAUCUCUGAGCGAGCAACGCCGCGUAAGUGAAGAAGGUGUUGGGAGGGUAAAGCUCUGUUGGUAAGGAAGCGGUAAGUAACCAGAAAGGGACGGCUAACUACGUGCCAGCAGCCGCGGUAAUUC
Molecule: ribosomal RNA, 407 nt
Filed under: uncultured bacterium
Lineage: Bacteria
Description: partial 16S ribosomal RNA
Rfam family: Bacterial small subunit ribosomal RNA
Source: RNAcentral